Molecule: transfer RNA, 75 nt
Filed under: Spirilliplanes yamanashiensis
Lineage: Bacteria; Bacillati; Actinomycetota; Actinomycetes; Micromonosporales; Micromonosporaceae
Also listed under: 6 other names
Description: tRNA-Val
Rfam family: tRNA
About the family: Transfer RNA (tRNA) molecules are approximately 80 nucleotides in length. Their secondary structure includes four short double-helical elements and three loops (D, anti-codon, and T loops).
Source: RNAcentral
GGGCGCGUAGCUCAGCGGAAGAGCACUCGCCUUACAAGCGAGGGGUCGCAGGUUCGAACCCUGCCGCGCCCACCA